This 253-nucleotide ribosomal RNA is filed under the name uncultured bacterium. Its description in RNAcentral is "partial 16S ribosomal RNA". It matches the Rfam family "Bacterial small subunit ribosomal RNA", at positions 524 to 776 of the family's 1533-position model. The record is from RNAcentral.
UACAGAGGUCCCGAGCGUUGUUCGGAUUCAUUGGGCGUAAAGGGCGCGUAGGCGGCAAGGCAAGUCGGGUGUGAAAGCUUGGGGCUUAACCCCGAAAGGGCACUCGAAACUGCGUUGCUAGAGGGCCGGAGAGGAGAUCGGAAUUCACGGUGUAGCAGUGAAAUGCGUAGAGCUCGUGAGGAAGACCGGUGGCGAAGGCGGAUCUCUGGACGGCCCCUGACGCUGAGGCGCGAAGGCUAGGGGAGCAAACGGG